CUGCGGCAGCAGUUGCUGCCAGGAGGCAACAUGGAGCUGCACACCGAAGAGACAGGGACACUGCUCUGGGGGCCGUGAAAGGCGAACGGGGGCAGGGAGCAGUCGGGCCUGGGGGCACCUGGCCCCAAGUAUUGCUGGAGCUGGGCCCCUGGCUCUGAAUAUUGCUGGUGCCCGAGCACCACGUGGAUAUGGAACUCGCUGCCUAUGAAAACAGGGAAAUUCAGUGGUUGAAACUCUGGGCCAAGUUCUUAGCAUGUGUAAACAGACAACUUUCCACUGAAACCAAAGGGGCUGUACCUAUUUGCGUUAAACAAGAAAUUGGCCUCCUGAUAUCUCUCAUCCCAUCGGUGCUUAGGAAAACUUGAUACCUCGGUGUUACAUUACAUUCCUACAUUUAUCUAGAAAUCUCAGAUGGGACAGGAAAAGAUAUUGAAGGUGCAAGAGACCAUAAAAGAACAUUUGUUUUAACUGCUCUCCUUAUUGAGUUCUGGAUUGUCACUGAACGGUGACUACAGUACCAUUACACUGGGAAAUGGGUGGCACCUUCCUCCGCCGCAGCCUAUGACACUUCUCUGGCACCAGAGUGAACAAAUACAAUGAUGUUUCUGAUCUACUCAACGGCAUUAGGGGAGUGUUAUGAGCAGAAGCAUCAUGGCAGCAAGGGUCACUAUAGGUUCCAGGAACUUUACACAAGUUAAUAGAACCACACAGCUGAAUGAGGGCUUUGUGAGGAGAUCCAGGUCCCAGCCUGUACACCCACUUAAGCCCAUGGACUUCCUCAAAGAUACGAACACCAGAGUUACGGACUUACCGGUCAGCCAGGCACCCUGUGAAACCAGAAGUCCUCAAUCAGGCAGCAGUGCAGACAAAAAAAAAGAAGCAAAUACUGUACAGCCUAGUAGCUGGGAUAUCACAGAAUUAUGCAUUCCUGAGCAUCACAGUGGAGCAGACCAGAAGGUGCCAAGGACACAAUGGAGGAUGAAGUGCUAGAAACUCCUGGAAACACCAGAAAAUACUGGAAAACUCCUGAACUACUGGAGACUCAGGGACUGAGAGGCAAAGCAAGACUGAAGACCCACUGAUGUGGAAACAGUCGGUGCUGGUCCCUAUGUCUUCAGUAUUGGACUCAACAGACCCCCCAAGGCCGGAACUGGAGUUGAUGAUAUGGGCUCUCACUGAUCUCAGCGGGGUACUGGUAAGUGGUUGGAUGGCCCUGUUCCAUCCACAUGUAGGAAGGAGUCUGGUGCUGUCAGUACUCCCCGUAGAAGAUGAGGAAGAGUCUAGCCGAACCAGAGAGUGGUCCUGAUUAGUCUUACGGGACUUCUUCCUCACCACAUGAGAGGGAGAAUGAAUCCUCCUCCUCUUGGGGGAAAUUGCAGGAUCUGAACAUGGUGCAGCAUCACUUGCCAGUUCCACAGGCGACCACCAAUCACAUGAGGGCCUCAGUGCCAAAGCUGAUCUCAGGGCCUGCUUCGGAAGGUACUGCUUCAGCCAUAAGUCUCUCAACACUUCACUCUGAUAUUUACUGUGAAGGUUCCCGAAACUGACAGAGGGAAGCCAACACAAAAUUUAUCCUCCUCAAGAUCCACUGGAUCCAAGUCCAUAAGAUCAUCACCUGCAAACUCAAUCAUGUGAAGCAUGGAUAGCGCAUGAAGCAGAAAACGGCGUGCACACUAAAAUACACAGUUGUACGUAUGUACAGAUCAAAAGAAGAACGAACACACUAACAUACGAGUGUGAGCUUGGUAGGAUUGCUUCACAACAUUGCCAUCUCCGACCUCACAUUUUCCCUGAUUUUAUUGGCAGUGAGAUUUAUUUAUUUAAAUAAAUUAUGAAGACAUGGUCAGAAUUUUACCAGUAGCAGCUGGCCAACGAAAUGCUGCCUUAGGAGACUGAUAGCAGACUUACUCAUAGAAAUAAUAAUUUUACAAGUGCAAUUAUUGUUUUUUCCCCUCAGCCCUGGCCUCUUGCCUGUCAAUAAUGAACAAUUAGUGAAGGGUAAGGGUAUUUGUGUGGCCAGAUGUGCAUAUUUUUGUCAUAUUUGAAUGAAAAUGUCUAUAUUUAGAAUCUUCUUUUUCCCAGGUCUCCUUUAUUUAUCAAAAUCAGUUGAUAAAAUUUGAAAUGGAGUCCGUUUUUUAUUUUUUAGAGGCCCCUCAUAUUGUGAGACCCUAAGUUAUAGCUUAGAUAGCUUAUACCUUAAUCCAGCACUGUUCUGACUGCUAGUUACCUGAAAGUGUGCAGGAAUCUUCUGCAUGUCUAGCACCACCACCACCAAGCAUUUUCCAUUGCAGAGAUAUUCGCUGGGACUUCACAUAUCCUUAGCCUAUGUUUCACUAUAAUACUGUCUCUUGCUCCAACUGACUUUAUUUUGGUAAGCUUUGCUUUCCCUAGAGUUGAAUGUGAAAGAUGCCAUACACUCACAGUCACAGUAUCCCUCAUCGUCUACCUUCUGGCUAUCACGAUUAUAUUGGAGAGUAGAACCACACUUAUGGGGCUCAUGAAUUUUUACCAACCAUGUCUAUUUUCUUCACAUUUAAAAAAAAGGUGACAGACACAGAAAUGAGAUUCAGGUCCCUUUUUGCUUAUGCUACACACAUGCAGUUUGUAAAUACAAACAGAAAACUGAAGAGGUGUAACCAUGUGGGUCAGAUGGAGGAAAAAAUUAAUUCUAAUAUGUGGGCAAAUGACUAACUGAAUGUGCACUAGUAAAUGUGUACAUUUACUGUAACAGUGCAAAGCCAAAGUAACUGCGCAUGCACUCCCCAGUAAAACCUGUCCUAUAAUUCUCUGUUACAGAUUUACAGAUUUCCCACUGCCAGAGGCCUCUGAUAGUCUUCACAAGGCAGUGUAUACUAUUAAAUAAUAGUAGAGAUGUUUCGUUGAAGUCCCAGAAGUCCAGAAAAGGUGUUACAGCCCUGACUGAGUUCCUCCUUUUGGUUGAAUCAAACUCUUUGAUCCCAUGUACAUUUAAGCCUACUGGGUUGGAGCAGGUACAUUCCUGGGGAACAGACGUCCUCUCAAAUACCCCACCCUGGCAUGUGGCACCAUGCAGUCCAACUGCACUAAGUUACAAGAUCAGUGCAACACCCCUCCCUCCCAGAGAGUCUCUUCAACUGCUUAAACAUGCCGUCCCCAGAGCUCCAUCCUCCUAAGUACUCUGGUUUUACUGUGUAACCCUUAGGGAAUCUUAUGAUAGGCAAACAAGGGAAUAUACAGACUUUAUGAAGGAACUUCUUAAAUCAGACACUACACUUUUCUCAGACAAAGCAAAGGAGUUACAGAUCUAUGGAAAAAUGAACAUCUGCAUGCAAAUCGCCUCCCUCCAUUGUCCUCACUACUAAGAGCCUGUUGGUUUUGUUUAAUAUACUUUCAGGGUUCCAGGGCCCUUCUGCACCCCACUCCUCCUGUUCAGUCAUCCUGUAGUCAGCCAAUGGCUGGCUGGCAAGAUUGCUCCUCCCACAGCUCAAGGGGAUCUGGCCCACUCUCUCAGAAAACCUUCUGAAAAACCUACAAAUCAACCAUUUUCAAACAGCUCUGAACCAGACAUACACAUUAUUUAAAUAUUAAAAAUGUCAACAUAUUUUGUUUUUUCAUCUCCUAUCCUCACCACCCAAAAAGUAUGUUUUACAAAAGCAAUAGAAAAUGAGCUAGGAUGCAAUCAUUGCUUUUUUUGGGGGGGGGAGAGGGGAGAAGGGUGCUGCUAGAAAUAAAAUUUUUCUAGCCCCAUAAUGCACCUGAAGAAUCUGGAGGCCAGAAGUCAAUAGGAGUUGCAAGGGGCAAGUACCUCAUGGGUAGAUCAGGCCCUGAGAUGGCACAGCUAUAGAUACAGCAUUUUCCAUUCAUGUUUAUUUGCUCCAGAAUUCUAAUCUGUCAAUGGAUUAUUUUUGGAGAGGGGAUUUGGCUCUUCCAGGUGUCUUUUGUCCAAUCCCAAAAUGCCAUUUCCAGAUAAUAGUGUGGGCAUUUAACAAUUGGUUAUUUAUUCCAUGGUUGGAGGGCACCACCUUGGCAGGAGUGCGAAGCUGUAAAGACAUUACAGCCAAAGGCCUCUGGACACUUUCAAAUACAAGACAACCAAUAAAGAUGGCAAUAUGCUCCAAUAUCUUCCCUGAGUAAGAAACGGAGGAAACCAUACCAAGCAUAAACCAAACAAACCCCCCAGAUCAGGGCCUAUGCUAGCCUCCCCAAAAGGGUCAGGUCUAUAUUACCUAACCCAAGUUGCAUACCCGGCAGAGGUAUAGGAUUCUCUUUCAGAGUAAAGAAUCAGUCAGGUUUCUAAUGUGAGUUUAGACUCUUUGCUGCAGAUCUUGAGGAAAGUCCAGUUAUUUUCUUUCAUGUGUUCUCAUACCUUAACUAUGUCAGUGUCAGUUUUGUGAAUAAGUUUAAACUGAUGACAAUUGAUGUAAUGUUUAACUAGUGUGGAUUACAUCCCAGGAAUUUGUUUUAAUAUAAAAACAUUAAACUACAAUUCAGACAUUAAUUCCAUGAAGGCAACAUUGUACUAGUGCAGAUAAGAUCUGGAAACACAGGCAGACUUCUGUAUGGAUAUGCAAUUAUGUAAGAUAAAGAGGAAGACAUCUGCUGUAAAUCAGUCUGUUUAUUUUCACUUGAAAGCCUCAAGGUAGAGGACUGUUUCUCAUAAUCCCCUUCUCCUGUCUCUUCAAAGGAUCAUGUUUAAAGGUUUAAAUAUUCUCAACCCUAAAUGAACAUUGUUUACAAGUGUCUUCUGAAUUAUAAUUCGUUUCAGAUUACCUAAACAGUUCUACAGCAAGCCUAUCAUUGUUUAAUAUAUAUUGUAAGCUUGUUAUGACAAUUCAUUUCACGGUUAUGUUUCGAGUGCAUUGUUUGUAGAGAAUAAAUGAAAAGGGAUAAUGAAGAUUAAGAACUGCAUUUAAGGCAAAGACUGUGUCAUCAUUCCACAAAUGAAUUUCAACUCCAAUAUUUUGCCCCUGAUAUCAAUAGGCAUCAUGCACACAGGGAGAGCAGAACACAGGAGACCAAAUCCACCAUACAGUUUGGAGAAUGCCAUUUUAAAUGUAUAAGCCUGGCAAGACAGGAAAGCCAGAAAGGGACCCGGGUGUCAUUAUAGACAACUCAAUAAAGACUUAAGUAAAAUCCUGCUCAUACUGACAUCAAGGUCUAUACUCCGAGAGCUUUCAGUGACUAGGAAGACUGGGUCCUAAAUCAGAAUCUGCUUAUACAAGACUCUGAUAUCGGUAAAGAAAAUAAAACUAACUUUCUAAAGUUAGCCUUUGUGAGUCAUUUAUCAUAGGACCUUCAAAUCCUAAUGUGAUACUACAUCAGCUUGGGUCUUUCGUUCAGUUCAUGGGACCGUGACAAGUUCAGUUACAUAGUUCAUUCUAUCAUUCAGACCUUAGGAGGAAUGUUGCUGUUAUUUUUCAAAGCCUUAGUUCUAUAAAAACUUACAGU
This is a long non-coding RNA of Chrysemys picta bellii (western painted turtle), 5427 nucleotides long. RefSeq lists it as uncharacterized. The record is from RefSeq and is a predicted model, not a curated record. NCBI's taxonomy places the organism in Eukaryota, Metazoa, Chordata, Testudines, Emydidae.